This 252-nucleotide ribosomal RNA is filed under the name uncultured Bacteroidales bacterium. RNAcentral's name for it is "partial 16S ribosomal RNA". It matches the Rfam family "Bacterial small subunit ribosomal RNA", at positions 524 to 776 of the family's 1533-position model. Lineage: Bacteria; Pseudomonadati; Bacteroidota; Bacteroidia; Bacteroidales. The record is from RNAcentral.
UACGGAGGAUGCGAGCGUUAUCCGGAUUUAUUGGGUUUAAAGGGUGCGCAGGCGGCGAGUUAAGUCAGCGGUAAAAUUUCGGGGCUCAACCCCGACAAGCCGUUGAAACUGGCUUGCUAGAGUGGGCGAGAAGUAUGCGGAAUGCGUGGUGUAGCGGUGAAAUGCAUAGAUAUCACACAGAACACCGAUUGCGAAGGCAUCUGACGAAUCGGAGAUUGACGCUGAUGCACGAAAGCGUGGGUAUCGAACAGG